UUAGAACGUCGUGAGACAGUUCGGUCCCUAUCUGCCGUGGGCGCUGGAGAACUGAGGGGGGCUGCUCCUAGUACGAGAGGACCGGAGUGGACGCAUCACUGGUGUUCGGGUUGUCAUGCCAAUGGCACUGCCCGGUAGCUAAAUGCGGAAGAGAUAAGUGCUGAAAGCAUCUAAGCACGAAACUUGCCCCGAGAUGAGUUCUCCCUGACCCUUUAAGGGUCCUGAAGGAACGUUGAAGACGACGACGUUGAUAGGCCGGGUGUGUAAGCGCAGCGAUGCGUUGAGCUAACCGGUACUAAUGAACCGUGAGGCUUAACCUUACAACGCCGAAGGUGUUU
Molecule: ribosomal RNA, 338 nt
Filed under: Escherichia coli
Lineage: Bacteria; Pseudomonadati; Pseudomonadota; Gammaproteobacteria; Enterobacterales; Enterobacteriaceae
Description: bacterial LSU rRNA
Rfam family: Bacterial large subunit ribosomal RNA
Source: RNAcentral